GUGUAAUACCCCCACGCAUAACCUUGAAUUGGCAACCACGCUCACUUUAGCGGAACUGUAUGAUCGAUCGUUAACGUGCGCCGGAGGCCAAGAAAUAGGGUUUAUAAUGUUGCGAAGCAAAUGCCCUCGGAAUCAUCCCCUCCGCGCGAUCGUGUUGGGGAUUUGGAUGCGGCAAUUCGAAAGCGAUGCGGUUCUCAGUCAGGGCGGCCAAGAGCUUGCCGCUGAUGCCAUCAAAAUCGAGUCUUUCACUCUCCUCCUCAUCCUCUUCUUCGGCCCCAGAAAUCGGUGUGGGCGACGUGGGAGGGAAGCCCGGAGGAGACGCAGUCGUUGAGGAAGGAGAGGCGAAGAUUCUUAUGGAUUCUGCCAACGGCGUAUUCUACGACGAGGCCCAGGUUCAUAACAGAGACAUUUCCAUUGCUGUUUUAAGGACUUCUAUCUCAAAACGCAAGGAAGAACAUGCUAUUAUGUUGAGCAGGAAAGGAUCGGCAUCAGAGGUCCCUUGUGACAGGCCUUCUGAUUAUUUAUCAGAUGGAGAUUGUCAAAUCCAACUAGACUCUUCAGAUUAUACCAAAGGCAACUUAAGAGAAAUUCAGGAAAUUCCUGCCUCAAAAGUUCAAGAACUCAAAGCACCCACGGUUCUCGAGGGGCAUCUAUAGUUAUCUUUUGUACCUAUCCUUGCAAAUGGAAUAAUGUGCUUUGUUGAUAAAUAUAAUCUAAGUUUCUACAAGGAAUCUGCAGGCUUUAGCUGCUUCUGGAUUACGAUCGCGGAGAUAUGCACUUGAAAUAGAUGGCAUUGGCAAAAUUGUCGCUCUCGACUAUGACGAAUAAUCUAUUGAAGCUUGCAAAAGAAAUAUACAGUUUAAUGGCUCUCUGGCAUCAUCAAAGGUGGAAACUCAUCUUGCCGAUGCCCGAGUUUAUAUGCUUACCCAUCCAAAAUAAUUUGAUGCGGUUGACCUUGAUCCUUAUGGAUCACCUUCUGCUUUCUUGGACUCUGCUGUUCAGUCAAUUGCUGAUGGUGGAUUACUAAUAGUGCACAGCUACAGAUUUGUCAGUUCUUUGUGGUGGCAAUACUGCAAUCUGCUAAUCUAAGUGAAUUCAUGCUUAUGAAUUUUAAACUAGAAAUUUCUAUUUUUAGCUAACCUUACCUGUAGAUAUGGGUAACAGGUAUGGUUCUUAUCCUUUGAAAGCAAAAUAUCACCAUGAGAUGGCUUUGAGGAUGCUUCUUGCUUGUGUUGAGGUGUGGUUCAUCAUCUGAUUUGUAACUAACUCUCUUCUCUAAAUAGUGUCAUCUUACAGGUUUAAUUCUUCUCAUGCCCUUGCGAUGCAGAGUCAUGCAAACCGUUACAGACAUUACAUUGUUCUCGUCAUCUCUGUGCCGAUGGAUUUUUAUAUGCAAGUUUGUGUGCACAUAUUCACGUCUGUUCUCCAUGCUCUAUGUGGUGGCAUAUAACAAUUUUAAUCAAAUAUGUUUUGAACAGUUUGGUUCAUCUUUAGAUGUUGUGUAUUAUAUUUUUUGAUGAGCACUGUGUAGCUCCUUCUCUCCCACAACAAGUGUGUAGGUAAUUUUCUGUGUAUUUUUUUCUCAGGUCUGCUAGGAUGAUGAAGAUCACAACACCACUUAAAACUCUCGUACAUAUAUCAGUGUGCUGGUUGUGAUUCAUUUCAUUUACAAAGCCUUGGGAGGACUGUUACUAAGAACAACACAGACUGUGGAAGGAAUUUUAGCAUGGGUGGGGUGGACCUAUAUGAGUCUGCUGCUCCCAUCCGUGACCAAGAAUGGGUAGCUUCCAUGUUACAAAAUAUUAAGCUGCAAAGGAAGGAUAAGCAUCCUGCAUACAAAAAGAUUGUAGCUGUACUUAAAGCAAUAUCAGAGGUUGAUGUUAUUUACCAAAACUGUUUCAGUUUGCGCUCGGAAUAGAGUACUUAAAUAGAACAUAAAAUAGGUGAAUUUGACACAGUUGAAAAGUCAUGGGAGAUGAAUACAACUAGCUUUCUUUUCUUAUCUUAUUUCUAGGUGUCAUAAUAGCACAUGGAAGUAAUGAAUUGAGUCGAGAGAUUAUAUUGAAGUCGACACAUGGAAGUAAUUUAAUGUAGUAGAUGUUUAAAACUUUAAAAGAUUGUAUGGUUCAAUAUUUCUUUUCAGAGAUUACUU
Musa acuminata AAA Group (dessert banana) is the source of this 2152-nucleotide long non-coding RNA. RefSeq lists it as uncharacterized. Lineage: Eukaryota; Viridiplantae; Streptophyta; Magnoliopsida; Zingiberales; Musaceae. The record is from RefSeq and is a predicted model, not a curated record. The transcript is spliced from 7 exons.